Molecule: ribosomal RNA, 297 nt
Filed under: Escherichia coli
Lineage: Bacteria; Pseudomonadati; Pseudomonadota; Gammaproteobacteria; Enterobacterales; Enterobacteriaceae
Also listed under: 1 other name
Description: partial 16S ribosomal RNA
Rfam family: Bacterial small subunit ribosomal RNA
Source: RNAcentral
AAAUUGAAGAGUUUGAUCAUGGCUCAGAUUGAACGCUGGCGGCAGGCCUAACACAUGCAAGUCGAACGGUAACAGGAAGCAGCUUGCUGCUUCGCUGACGAGUGGCGGACGGGUGAGUAAUGUCUGGGAAACUGCCUGAUGGAGGGGGAUAACUACUGGAAACGGUAGCUAAUACCGCAUAAUGUCGCAAGACCAAAGAGGGGGACCUUCGGGCCUCUUGCCAUCGGAUGUGCCCAGAUGGGAUUAGCUUGUUGGUGGGGUAACGGCUCACCAAGGCGACGAUCCCUAGCUGGUCUG